AGUGGGGAAUAUUGCACAAUGGGCGAAAGCCUGAUGCAGCGACGCCGCGUGAGUGAAGAAGGUCUUCGGAUCGUAAAACUCUGUCCUUGGUGAAGAAAAAAAUGACGGUAGCCAAGGAGGAAGCCCCGGCUAACUACGUGCCAGCAGCCGCGGUAAUACGUAGGGGGCGAGCGUUGUCCGGAUUUACUGGGCGUAAAGGGUGAGUAGGCGGUUAUAUAAGUCAGAUGUAAAAGGCACAGGCUUAACUUGUGUAAGCAUUUGAAACUGUAUAACUUGAGUGCAGGAGAGGUAAGUGGAAUUCCUAGUGUAGCGGUGAAAUGCGUAGAUAUUAGGAGGAACACCAGUGGCGAAGGCGACUUACUGGACUGUAACUGACGCUGAGUCACGAAAGCGUGGGUAGCAAACAGGAUUAGAUACCCUGGUAGUCCACGCUGUAAACGAUGAGUGCUAGGUGUUGGCCAGCGAUGGUCAGUGCCGAAGUUAACACAAUAAGCACUCCGCCUGGGGAGUACGGUCGCAAGACUGAAACUCAAAGGAAUUGACGGGGACCCGCACAAGCAGCGGAGCAUGUGGUUUAAUUCGAAGCAACGCGAAGAACCUUACCAAGGUUUGACAUCCCCUUGACAGAUGCAGAGAUGUGUCCUCCCCUUCGGGGGCAAGGGAGACAGGUGGUGCAUGGUUGUCGUCAGCUCGUGUCGUGAGAUGUUGGGUUAAGUCCCGCAACGAGCGCAACCCUUAUCAUUAGUUGCCAGCAGGUUAAGCUGGGCACUCUAAUGAGACUGCCGGUGAUAAACCGGAGGAAGGUGGGGAUGACGUCAAAUCAUCAUGCCCCUUAUAUCUUGGGCUACGCACGUGCUACAAUGGUCGGUACAAAGAGAAGCGAAAGAGUGAUCUGAAGCAAAUCUUCAUAAACCGAUCCCAGUUCGGAUUGUAGGCUGCAACUCGCCUACAUGAAGUUGGAGUUGCUAGUAAUCGCGAAUCAGAACGUCGCGGUGAAUGCGUUCCCGGGUCUUGUACACACCGCCCGUCACACCAUGGAAGUUGGUAAUACCCAAAGUCGCUGAGCUAACCGCAAGGAGGCAGGCGCCUAAGGUAGGAUCAAUGACUGGGGUG
Molecule: ribosomal RNA, 1113 nt
Filed under: uncultured bacterium
Lineage: Bacteria
Description: bacterial SSU rRNA
Rfam family: Bacterial small subunit ribosomal RNA
Source: RNAcentral